AUGAGGAGCCCUGGGGCCCCACUCAAGCACAGGCAGGAGCAAGAGAUGGAACGGGAGACAGGAAGCGCCCGUCGACAGGGGCCUCACAGUGAACAGCCUGACCCGGUCCAAGUACUGCUGACACCCAGUCAGGAGGAGGAGGAGGACCAGGCCGCGCCCAGACAGGACUCAGCUUUGGGCCAGGACCCCACCCACCCUGGAGCUGCGCUUGUCCGGAGCAGCCCUCACCCCUGUGAACCUUGUAGGGAGGUGGAGCAGGACGGAGGGGUAGGGAAGAGAGGGGAGGAGGGUGAGGCUGGUAGGGAGGGGGUGGGGGUGAGGCUGUGCGAGUUGCUGCAGGUGGGGGGGGUGAGCGUCAGACCUCUGGGGAGACAUUUGGCCAUUUCCCUGCCCUCGCUUCCUCUGCGCCUCUGGGAUCCGCACGGCUCACACCUGGAACCCCUUCACACACACCCUCCCCCCCCAUCCUCGCCUCCUCCCCCACCUUCUUCUGUGGAAUCUUCUGGGCCAAGCAAACCUUUCACGCCCCUCUGGCAGCCCCCCCGGCCCCACUCGUCCGCCACGGCCGCUCCGCCCUGGCCACCCGACAGCACGCCUCACUGGUCCUCCUGGAGCCUGGACGGUCCCAACGCGGUGGUGACACCAUACGACACCCCCCCAGACCGCUGCAUCCCCAUCCAGACGCAGACCUCCGGCCAGCACGCCAGCUUCAGCUGCCAGUCCUCUCCGGGUCACUACAGCUCCCAGCAUGCCCUGGGGCGCCACAGCUGUGACCACGAAGAGGCAGAGCUGUCUGAGCUGGACUCCCUAUAUCAAGCCAGCCUCUUAGCUGGGAGGACAGGCUGCAGCCCGUCAGAGAGGCUUAUAUCCAGGGUGGGAGGGCAGGCUCGCUCCAAGACCCCCAACGCAGACAUGGAGAGGAGUGCGUACGGGGCGGACUGCACCAGAAGCCCCGCCUACCUCAACAAGGUGACGUCUAUGCAGGACUUCCGUUUGGGGGCGGAGCCUGAUGAUGGGGAGAACCCGAGGCGAAUCGGACGCAGCCUGAGCGGAACCGUGGUGGCGUCGCGUCGCGGUCGUCUGACCGCCACCCGCAGCUUUGUGAAGCAGGCUGAUGUCAGUCCCCUCUCCCUGCUUACUUCCUCUUUUCUGAGUCCCUGUUGCUCCUCCACCACCAUCACCUCCUCCAUCCUCCUCAUCACCAACACCUCCUAUCACCACCUCCCUCCUCCGCUUCACAGGAGGUGUCGGGCGGCGCCGGGGCCUUCUGGUUGUGUCUGA
Molecule: long non-coding RNA, 1281 nt
Organism: Takifugu rubripes (torafugu)
Lineage: Eukaryota; Metazoa; Chordata; Actinopteri; Tetraodontiformes; Tetraodontidae
Source: Ensembl